GGUGGCACUGAGGGUCCUGAGGAUGUCCCCGAGGGCUCCAGUGAUGUCCCUGAGGGUACCAAGGACGUCCCUGAGGGUCCCAAGAGCUCCAGUGACAUCCCCGAGGGUCCCGAGAGCUCCAGUGACAUCCCUACAGGUCCCAAGGAUGUCCCCGAGGGUCCCAAGAGCUCCAGCGAUGUCCCCAAGGGUCCCAAGAGCUCCAGUGACGUCCCUGAAGGUCCCAAGGACAUCCCUGAGGGUCCCAAGAGCUCCAGUGACGUCCUUGAGGAUCCCAAGGACGUCCCUGAGGGUCCCAAGAGCUCCGGCGAUGUCCAAGAUGGUUCCAAAGCCCCCACAGGUGUCCCAAAGGGUCCCAAGAGCUCCAAGAACAUCCAGGAGGGUCCUGAGAACUCCGCAAACAUCCCAGAGAGUCCCAGGGACGUCCAGGAGGGUCCCAAGAGCUCCAGGAAUGUCCAGGAGCGUCCCAAGAGCUCCAGAAAUGUCCCCAAGGGUUCCAAGAGCUCCAGGCACGUCCCCAAGGGUUCCAAGAGCCCCAAAGACCCCGAUGGCUCCAAGGACACGGCUCGAGGUCCUGGUGGUCCCAGGAAGGUCGAGGAAGGCACCGACGCCCUUGAGAUCGACCAACAGCCCAACUUCUCGGGGGGGGUUGGAGAAGAACCCGGGGAGGGACGUGGUGACCCCAGGAAGAGAGGGAAUGACUCUAAAGAGGGACAGGGUGACUUUGGGCAACGUGAUGACCCCAAAGAGGGACACGGUGACACCAAAGGUGGACACGACCCCAGAGAUGGACACAGUGACCCCAGAGAGGGGCACAGUGACCCCAGAGAGGGACACAAUGACCCCAGAGAGGGACACAAUGACCCCAGAGAGGGACAUGAUGACCUCAAAGAGCGACACAACCCCAGAGAAGGCCCUGAUGACCCCAAAGGGGGACGUGGUGAUCUCAAAGAGGGACACGACCCCAGAGAAGGACACAGUGACCCCAGAGAGGGACACGAUGACCUUGGACAACGUGACGACCCCAGGAAGAGACGCGAUGACCCCAAAGAUGGACAUGGACGCGAUGACCCCAAAGAGGGACGCAGGGACCCCAGAGAUGGACACAACGACCCCAGAGAAGGACACAACGACCCCAGAGAUGGACACGACCCCAGAGAAGGACACAACGACCC
Molecule: long non-coding RNA, 1172 nt
Filed under: Manacus vitellinus (golden-collared manakin)
Lineage: Eukaryota; Metazoa; Chordata; Aves; Passeriformes; Pipridae
Description: lncRNA (ENSMVIG00005019334.1)
Source: RNAcentral